UACGUAGGGUGCGAGCGUUAAUCGGAAUUACUGGGCGUAAAGCGUGCGUAGGCGGUUCGUUAAGUUCGUUGUGAAAGCCCCGGGCUCAACCUGGGAACUGCAAUGGAAACUGGCGGGCUUGAGUGUGGCAGAGGGGGGUGGGAUUCCGCGUGUAGCAGUGAAAUGCGUAGAGAUGCGGAGGAACACCGAUGGCGAAGGCAGCCCCCUGGGCCAACACUGACGCUCAGGCACGAAAGCGUGGGGAGCAAACAGG
Molecule: ribosomal RNA, 253 nt
Filed under: uncultured bacterium
Lineage: Bacteria
Description: partial 16S ribosomal RNA
Rfam family: Bacterial small subunit ribosomal RNA
Source: RNAcentral